AGAGUUUGAUCAUGGCUCAGGACGAACGCUGGCGGCGUGCUUAACACAUGCAAGUCGAACGGAAAGGCCCCUUCGGGGGUACUCGAGUGGCGAACGGGUGAGUAACACGUGGGUGAUCUGCCCUGCACUUUGGGAUAAGCCUGGGAAACUGGGUCUAAUACCGAAUAGGACCGCAUGUUUCAUGGUGUGUGGUGGAAAGCUUUUGCGGUGUGGGAUGGGCCCGCGGCCUAUCAGCUUGUUGGUGGGGUAAUGGCCUACCAAGGCGACGACGGGUAGCCGGCCUGAGAGGGUGUCCGGCCACACUGGGACUGAGAUACGGCCCAGACUCCUACGGGAGGCAGCAGUGGGGAAUAUUGCACAAUGGGCGCAAGCCUGAUGCAGCGACGCCGCGUGGGGGAUGACGGCCUUCGGGUUGUAAACCUCUUUCAGUAGCGGCGAAGCUCCAGGAUUUUUCUUGGGGUGACGGUAGGUACAGAAGAAGCACCGGCCAACUACGUGCCAGCAGCCGCGGUAAUACGUAGGGUGCGAGCGUUGUCCGGAAUUACUGGGCGUAAAGAGCUCGUAGGUGGUUUGUCACGUUGUCUGUGAAAACUCACAGCUUAACUGUGGGCGUGCGGGCGAUACGGGCAGACUGGAGUACUGUAGGGGAGACUGGAAUUCCUGGUGUAGCGGUGGAAUGCGCAGAUAUCAGGAGGAACACCGGUGGCGAAGGCGGGUCUCCGGGCAGUAACUGACGCUGAGGAGCGAAAGCGUGGGGAGCGAACAGGAUUAGAUACCCUGGUAGUCCAA
RNAcentral lists this ribosomal RNA (789 nucleotides) under uncultured bacterium. RNAcentral's name for it is "bacterial SSU rRNA". It matches the Rfam family "Bacterial small subunit ribosomal RNA", at positions 8 to 798 of the family's 1533-position model. The record is from RNAcentral.